Molecule: long non-coding RNA, 284 nt
Filed under: Monodelphis domestica (gray short-tailed opossum)
Lineage: Eukaryota; Metazoa; Chordata; Mammalia; Didelphimorphia; Didelphidae
Description: lncRNA (ENSMODG00000030309.2)
Source: RNAcentral
CCUCAAAGGAACUUUGGGAGUCACAUGCUAUUUUUAUCCUUAGUUUAUAGAUAAGAAAACUGAGGAAGAUAAAGUUUAAGUGAUUUCCUAUUGACUAGGGAGAAGAUAGAUCCAUCUUCCAUCUAGUGUCUGGGCAUCUACAGAUUGGAGGAGUUGAAGGCAUCAAGGUGUUGCAGUGGAUAUAAUGCUGGAACUGGAGUUAGGAAGACCAGAGUUCAAAUUUGACCUAGACACUUACUAGAUAUGUGACCCUGGGCAAGUUAUUUAACUUCUCUCUCUAUGCC